AUACGGAGGAUGCGAGCGUUAUCCGGAUUUAUUGGGUUUAAAGGAUGCGUAGGCUGUGCGUUAAGUCAGGGGUGAAAUGCCGUCGCUCAACGACGGAGCUGCCCUUGAUACUGGCGUGCUGGAGUACGGAUGCCGUUGGAGGAAUGAGUGGUGUAGCGGUGAAAUGCUUAGAUAUCACUCAGAACACCGAUUGCGAAGGCAUCUGACGAAUCCGUCACUGACGCUGAGGCACGAAAGCGUGGGGAUAGAACAGGAUUAGAUACCCUGGUAUUCCACGCCGUAAACGAUGAUGACUAACCGUCGGCGAUAGACAGCCGGUGGCCAAGCGAAAGCGAUAAGUCAUCCACCUGGGGAGUACGUCGGCAACGAUGAAACUCAAAGGAAUUGACGGGG
This 393-nucleotide ribosomal RNA is filed under the name uncultured bacterium. Its description in RNAcentral is "partial 16S ribosomal RNA". It matches the Rfam family "Bacterial small subunit ribosomal RNA", at positions 523 to 918 of the family's 1533-position model. The record is from RNAcentral.